AAUAACCAAUGCAUUUAAGCAUGUGCAAUAUGGGCAAAGCCUUUAAAAGAUGUUCCUUUGGAAAUACAUGUUCUGCUAUACCAACACCGGUAGUAUCAGCUCUGAGUUAGCUGUAAAUCCCAUUUUGUACCACGCUAACUUCAUUGUGCUAACAGUGUCUGAGGUUAAGCACUACAUAUUCCCUCUGCUUAGUAUGCGCCUGUUGAAAUGGCUUUUCUAAGCACUGAUAAACAAUCAUUUAGUUAGCGGUUUACUCUUUGCAAUAAAUAAUUCUUACCCAGCGCACUGCUGAGAGAAAAACUGACUGGGUAUCCAUGCACGUGCACUCAGUAAACCACCCAUAAUAAUGUGGGAAUAUGAUUGGUUGAUCUGGAUCUCGCAGGUUGAGUAGAGGGGCUGUAUGGCAGGGAUAAUCAGUUCAAGCAGGAAAUAAAUGAUGCUCACUGACUGUGCCAGACAGGUAAAGGGUGACCAGAUCCCAACAAACUAAAUGAGGGACAAGCACGGUGUUUGUGUGGCACAAACUGUGACAUGUUAACAAUGCUGGGAGGCAUUCAAAUAUUUAAAUCCAACUUUCCAACUCUCUUAGUCAGUAAAUGCGAGAAAAAUAAAAGGAAGCUGAAGUUUGGGGCUAAAAAUGCAAUGCAGUACUAUUUAAAGUGGGACAUCUGUUCACCUGAGACAGGGAUGAACCAGGAGAAGAAUUAAUCAGCACCAGACCCAAUGAAAUAGUAAUAUAAUAUUUCCGGAGAGUGGUGUAUAUCUGUAUCUGCCAUCACCGUGGCGCUCCACAUUUAUAGGUAAUCUUAGAUGAAUCUAUUCUCAAUCCUAAAUAACGUGACGGUUUGAAGGCUUUCUGAAAAUCACCCUUAUGUCAAUAAUUAUGUGCCUCUGGUCUUUUAACAAUGGCUCAAAGCAAUAUAGCUAUUACAAUGCUAUUCUAAAGAUAUAGAUGUAUAUUUUUGUGUAUGUAUUAUCCAUAUGAGUGUAGGUUUUCCAUUGUUCAGCUAAGUUAGAUGAGACAAAAACCAAACAGCACACAGGCGUAGAUGGUUAAAGGCUGUUGGUGAACACUGAUGAUGAUGGUGUUUUGAUGGCAAUCGAUGGCAACAGAUGAGUGUUACAGAAAAAAAUAUCCUUAUUUGCUUGUCCUCCUGUGAGUAAAAUGAGAAAAUCGGUAUCACUCUUUCACAAAGCUACUACCACCAAAUCAGUUAGCUGAACUUAGGCUGGCUUUUUCCAAAUGUGACAGUUUAUUAGCACCUCAAAAGCUUUAUCAAUUCUGAUGAACACAUGUGAGUGUUUGUAUCAAAGCACUCAUCUAACUCUCAGCAAGAGAACAAGCAAACCGAUUUCUCUUUCUCAAUACCUUUGAAAAACAUAUUGUAGGUAAGCAAAGCGCUGGAAGUAUUAUGUGCAAUAGUAAUUUAAUGUUCCAACUAUGGUAAAUUAUUGUUUAGAUUUCAAGAGAAAAUCCACCUUAGAGUCAGAUCUUACCUCCUAGGCUGUUGUUGUGACUUUGGAAACACGAAGGCAAAGUUGCACAAGCUCGUAAGUUAAAAAAUAUUUAAUCGCAAUAAAUAUAUUUAAUUGUAAAAGGGUGGAUUUUCUCUGAGUGUAAAAGAUCCACUUCUGUCAGGUGUUGUUGGUUUUAAGGUUGUUGUUUAUUUCUUUUUUUUAUUGUUUUAUUAUUGUGUCAAUGAUUUAAUUAACUGAGGAAAAUAAGCUUUAAGUGGAUGUGCCCAAACAAGCUUUGGGUGAAUGUAUGCGACUCUAUGCAAAUCACAACAGAACUGAAUGUGAAUUUGUUGUACUGUACCUUGGCUUAACUGUGACAGCUCUGUAUGCAAUACAAUAGCAGGGGAUGUCGUGGAUCAGGGAGUUUUAAUGGUGGCGCUCAUAUGGAUAAGAAGCAGAAAGCUAUACAAUCCAAUGGCACACGUUGUUGCUCUACAUGGUGAAUGGGGAACAUCCAAAGGGGAGCAUGGAGCUGACUGGAGCCCCUGUACUCGAUUGGACCUCAGAAAGCCUAAAGACUCAGAAAGUCAUACUCAACCGCUGCUCUCAGUAGAAAAAUACAGCUGUAAUGCUCUUGCUCGCCCUCAAAUGAUGUCCCCAUUUUCAACCUCUAAUUCAUGCAUACCAACUCUUGAUCUCUUUACUAUAGAAAAAUAAAG
This is a long non-coding RNA of Oreochromis aureus, 2177 nucleotides long. Lineage: Eukaryota; Metazoa; Chordata; Actinopteri; Cichliformes; Cichlidae. The record is from Ensembl.